CCCUUAGAUGUUCUGGGCCGCACGCGCGCUACACUGACGAUGGCAACGAGUUUUUCCUUCGCCGAAAGGUGUGGGUAAUCUUUUGAAACAUCGUCGUGCUGGGGAUAGAUCAUUGCAAUUUUUGAUCUUGAACGAGGAAUUCCUAGUAAGCGCGAGUCAUCAUCCCGCGCUGAAUACGUCCCUGCCCUUUGUACACACCGCCCGUCGCUCCUACCGAUUGAGUGGUCCGGUGAGGCUUUGGGAUCUGAGCGGAAAGAGCGUUUCGCUGUUUCUGCCCGGAAAACUCAGUCGAACCUUAUCAUUUAGAGGAAGGAGAAGUCGUAACA
Molecule: ribosomal RNA, 326 nt
Filed under: uncultured eukaryote
Lineage: Eukaryota
Description: partial 18S ribosomal RNA
Rfam family: Eukaryotic small subunit ribosomal RNA
Source: RNAcentral